Molecule: RNA transcript, 1611 nt
Organism: Gossypium raimondii (Peruvian cotton)
Lineage: Eukaryota; Viridiplantae; Streptophyta; Magnoliopsida; Malvales; Malvaceae
Exons: 10
Source: RefSeq, a predicted model, not a curated record
UAUUUACUUGUUAAAAUAUUCCUUUCUGAGUUUUGGUUUCUUGUUCUCUCGCUCCUCAAGAAACUAAAAAAAAAAAAAAAAAAAAAAAAGAGAACAGUUAAUUGUAAAUAUUACAAUGCGAUCUCUUUUUUAAACGUGAAAAGAGGAAAAAUAAAACAAAAAUGAAGCAGGAAUCCAGCAGCUUCUAUUUGCCCAAAACGAAAUCCCUGAUUUCUUCCUAUAAUUUAUUUUCUCCGAUUCCGAACAAGAAGAAUACAAAAUAGAAGACGCAAUGGAAAAUUCAUCUUUUUAGGUUGAUUGGUUGAAGAAUGUGUUAUGAUACUGCUUUCUGAAGAAGCAACUAUGGAGAUACAAUCUUACCAGAAUCAGGCAGAGCUGUUGUUAAAGGAAUAUUUAUUGGCAGAUUCCUUCAUCCCAUACACAUCAGUUAUUUGUGGCAUUUUUGCUUGCAAGAUGGUCUAUGAUCUUACACAGUUGUUUAGCAGUGUUUACUUUAAGAGCUAUCUCAUCCUAUCAAAAGUCCAACGGAAUGAGUGGAACAACCGAUCCAUAUCAACCGUUCAUGCCAUUUUCAUAACAGUCAUGUCCUUAUACUUCGUGUUUUGGUCAAAUCUCUAUUCUGAUAACCGAUAUGCUGGCAUGAUUAUGUUUCGUAGUUCUGCAUUGUCUACAUUCACAUUGGGGGUAUCUGUUGGUUACUUUCUUGCUGACAUUGGGAUGAUCAUUUGGUUUUACUCUUCUCUAGGUGGAAUAGAGUAUGUCAUUCAUCAUUUUCUCUCCUUAACAGCUGUCGCAUAUUCUAUGAUGACUGGGGAAGGUCAGCUAUACACCUUCAUGGUACUUAUCUCUGAGACUACCACGCCUGGGAUCAAUUUGAGAUGGUAUCUUGAUACGGCUGGAAUGAAGAGAUCAAGAGCUUACUUAAUUAAUGGAGUUGUAAUAUUUGUAACAUGGCUGGUUGCUAGAAUACUCCUGUUUAUGUACCUAUUUUAUCACGUUUACUUGCACUUUGAUCAGGUUAAGCUGGUGCACAGCUAUGGGCUACUGUUAAUAUUCGUCGUGCCUUUUAUCCUAUCAGUUAUGAACUUAAUGUGGUUUGGAAAGAUUAUCAAGGGUUUAAGGAAAACAUUAGCAAAGAGGCAAUGAAGGGUACUUCACGGUGACUGACACAUGAAGUUACAUUGACAAACAAAAACACUACUUGCCAUUAAGCUCAAUGCCCGGUGCUAGAAGAGAUGGGAGUUGUUGGCAUCACUAGUAAUUAUCUCAAAAAUCAUGCUCUUCUCAAUAAAUGAUUCGGAGGUUUGGAGAUGAGAGACUGUUUUUGAAGAGAGACAUUAUUGCCACAAAAUAUGGCCAUGGUUUGAUGAAUUUGCUUCCACAACCUAAUUGUCCUAUUGGAGUGUCCUUUGUGUGUAAAGAUAUCACUAGAGGGAUCAUAUAAUGAUAUUCUUAAAAAUGAGUUUAUGCUUGUGGUGUAGGAAAGGUAAUUGUAUUGAUUUUGUUAGCAAUUUUUUUAUGGAUAGCGGAAGUUUAAAAAUUUUCACAAAAUCGAACCUUUGUUGUAUUAUUUAUGGUUAUAAAUUUUACCAAAUUUAGUAUGUUAAUUAA